RNAcentral lists this ribosomal RNA (465 nucleotides) under Vreelandella stevensii. RNAcentral's name for it is "partial 16S ribosomal RNA". It matches the Rfam family "Bacterial small subunit ribosomal RNA", at positions 338 to 795 of the family's 1533-position model. Lineage: Bacteria; Pseudomonadati; Pseudomonadota; Gammaproteobacteria; Oceanospirillales; Halomonadaceae. The record is from RNAcentral.
CCUACGGGAGGCAGCAGUGGGGAAUAUUGGACAAUGGGGGCAACCCUGAUCCAGCCAUGCCGCGUGUGUGAAGAAGGCCCUCGGGUUGUAAAGCACUUUCAGUGAGGAAGAACGCCUGGUGGUUAAUACCCAUCAGGAAAGACAUCACUCACAGAAGAAGCACCGGCUAACUCCGUGCCAGCAGCCGCGGUAAUACGGAGGGUGCGAGCGUUAAUCGGAAUUACUGGGCGUAAAGCGCGCGUAGGUGGCUUGAUAAGCCGGUUGUGAAAGCCCCGGGCUCAACCUGGGAACGGCAUCCGGAACUGUCAAGCUAGAGUGCAGGAGAGGAAGGUAGAAUUCCCGGUGUAGCGGUGAAAUGAGUAGAGAUCGGGAGGAAUACCAGUGGCGAAGGCGGCCUUCUGGACUGACACUGACACUGAGGUGCGAAAGCGUGGGUAGCAAACAGGAUUAGAUACCCUAGUAGUC